UGGGGAAUCUUGGACAAUGGGGGCAACCCUGAUCCAGCCAUGCCGCGUGAGUGAUGAAGGCCUUAGGGUUGUAAAGCUCUUUCGCCUGUGAAGAUAAUGACGGUAGCAGGUAAAGAAACCCCGGCUAACUCCGUGCCAGCAGCCGCGGUAAUACGGAGGGGGUUAGCGUUGUUCGGAAUUACUGGGCGUAAAGCGCACGUAGGCGGACCAGAAAGUUGGGGGUGAAAUCCCGGGGGCUCAACCCCGGAACUGCCUCCAAAACUAUUGGUCUAGAGUUCGAGAGAGGUGAGUGGAAUUCCAAGUGUAGAGGUGAAAUUCGUAGAUAUUUGGAGGAACACCAGUGGCGAAGGCGGCUCACUGGCUCGAUACUGACGCUGAGGUGCGAAAGUGUGGGGAGCAAACAGGAUUAGAUACCCUGGUAGUCCACACCGUAAAACGAUGAAUGCCAGUCGUCGGGUAGCAUGCUAUUCGGUGACACACCUAACGGAUUAAGCAUUCCGCCUGGGGAGUA
Molecule: ribosomal RNA, 511 nt
Filed under: uncultured bacterium
Lineage: Bacteria
Description: bacterial SSU rRNA
Rfam family: Bacterial small subunit ribosomal RNA
Source: RNAcentral